UUGUUCACAAUACAUUAAACAUUUAUCAGUUUAUUUUAUUUGCAUCAUCAAAAAUGACUAAAAUGGUUCUUACAAUUUUUCUGGUGUUCUACGUUUUUGGAAUGGUGAUGGAGAAUACGCAAGGACGUGUAUGUCAUGCGACUCAUGCCUAUCAUGAAGGAGAUGGUUGUAAACCCGAGGACUGCAAUGGUUGUAAACCCGAAGACUGCAACCGAGUUUGUCAUCAAAAGUGGAAAGGAACAGGAUCGUGUGAACCACCAAAAGGCAAACCAUUGACCAGGGGCGCCUGCUACUGUACUUAUAAUUGUUAAAAUUGUGUUUUUCUUUAUCAUCCUUAAGCAAUCACCAUAUAUAUAACUUAAUAAAAUAAUGGGUUGAAGAAAAAAA
This is a long non-coding RNA of Camelina sativa (false flax), 387 nucleotides long. RefSeq lists it as uncharacterized. Lineage: Eukaryota; Viridiplantae; Streptophyta; Magnoliopsida; Brassicales; Brassicaceae. The record is from RefSeq and is a predicted model, not a curated record.